GAUGAACGCUCGCUACAGGCUUAACACAUGCAAGUCGAGGGGAAACGGCAUCGAAAGCUUGCUUUUGAUGGGCGUCGACCGGCGCACGGGUGAGUAACGCGUAUCCAACCUGCCCAUCACUUGGGAAUAACCUUGCGAAAGUAAGACUAAUGCCCAAUGACAUCCCACGAAGGCAUCCGAAUGGGAUUAAAGAUUUAUCGGUGAUGGAUGGGGAUGCGUCUGAUUAGCUUGUUGGCGGGGUGACGGCCCACCAAGGCAACGAUCAGUAGGGGUUCUGAGAGGAAGGUCCCCCACAUUGGAACUGAGACACGGUCCAAACUCCUACGGGAGGCAGCAGUGAGGAAUAUUGGUCAAUGGGCGAGAGCCUGAACCAGCCAAGUAGCGUGCAGGAUGACGGCCCUAUGGGUUGUAAACUGCUUUUAUAAGGGAAUAAAGUGGGUCACGUGUGACUUUUUGCAUGUACCUUAUGAAUAAGGACCGGCUAAUUCCGUG
RNAcentral lists this ribosomal RNA (492 nucleotides) under uncultured bacterium. RNAcentral's name for it is "partial 16S ribosomal RNA". It matches the Rfam family "Bacterial small subunit ribosomal RNA", at positions 28 to 507 of the family's 1533-position model. The record is from RNAcentral.